Long non-coding RNA from Perognathus longimembris pacificus (Pacific pocket mouse), 285 nucleotides. RefSeq lists it as uncharacterized. The transcript is spliced from 4 exons. NCBI's taxonomy places the organism in Eukaryota, Metazoa, Chordata, Mammalia, Rodentia, Heteromyidae. The record is from RefSeq and is a predicted model, not a curated record.
GAGAAUUAUGAUUUUGAGAAUUUCAUAACUUAUUCUUAUCAUGGAUGUAAGAAAGAAACUGAGUCAUGAGGGUAUCUGAAUAGAAAGGGCAGAAACUGAACUCAACAGACCAACAGACCAUUCCAGAAUACAGCAUGGGGAGAGCAGUCAAUGUACACUUUGCUGAAAGUACAGAAAGGUUUUCAAUGAAAACUCUUCUGAAAAUUAACGGUAAUGUUCUAGGAUGUAAAAACACCUUAUAAAACUAUAUAUUUUUAUUGGAAGUGUCUUUGGGGGUUAAAAUGG